AUAUUGGACAAUGGGGGCAACCCUGAUCCAGCCAUGCCGCGUGUGUGAAGAAGGUCUUNGGCUUGNANAGCACUUUAAGUUGGGGNGAAGGGCUUUAGGCUAAUACCCUGAAGUCUUGACGUUACCAACAGAAUAAGCACCGGCUAACUCUGUGCCAGCAGCCGCGGUAAUACAGAGGGUGCAAGCGUUAAUCGGAAUUACUGGGCGUAAAGCGAGCGGAGGUGGUUCAGUAAGAAGAGUGUGAAGUACACGGGCUUAACCAGGGAACUGAUUUCAUAACUGCUGGGAUAGAGUACGGUAGAGGGUAGUGGAAUUUCCUGUGUAGCGGUGAAAUGCGUGGAUAUAGGAAGGAAAACCAGUGGCGAAGGCGACUACCUGGACUGAUACUGACACUGAGGUGCGAAAGCGUGGGGAGCAAACAG
RNAcentral lists this ribosomal RNA (422 nucleotides) under uncultured bacterium. RNAcentral describes it as "partial 16S ribosomal RNA". It matches the Rfam family "Bacterial small subunit ribosomal RNA", at positions 361 to 775 of the family's 1533-position model. The record is from RNAcentral.